Molecule: ribosomal RNA, 1551 nt
Filed under: Staphylococcus aureus
Lineage: Bacteria; Bacillati; Bacillota; Bacilli; Caryophanales; Staphylococcaceae
Description: 16S ribosomal RNA
Rfam family: Bacterial small subunit ribosomal RNA
Source: RNAcentral
UUUAUGGAGAGUUUGAUCCUGGCUCAGGAUGAACGCUGGCGGCGUGCCUAAUACAUGCAAGUCGAGCGAACGGACGAGAAGCUUGCUUCUCUGAUGUUAGCGGCGGACGGGUGAGUAACACGUGGAUAACCUACCUAUAAGACUGGGAUAACUUCGGGAAACCGGAGCUAAUACCGGAUAAUAUUUUGAACCGCAUGGUUCAAAAGUGAAAGACGGUCUUGCUGUCACUUAUAGAUGGAUCCGCGCUGCAUUAGCUAGUUGGUAAGGUAACGGCUUACCAAGGCAACGAUGCAUAGCCGACCUGAGAGGGUGAUCGGCCACACUGGAACUGAGACACGGUCCAGACUCCUACGGGAGGCAGCAGUAGGGAAUCUUCCGCAAUGGGCGAAAGCCUGACGGAGCAACGCCGCGUGAGUGAUGAAGGUCUUCGGAUCGUAAAACUCUGUUAUUAGGGAAGAACAUAUGUGUAAGUAACUGUGCACAUCUUGACGGUACCUAAUUAGAAAGCCACGGCUAACUACGUGCCAGCAGCCGCGGUAAUACGUAGGUGGCAAGCGUUAUCCGGAAUUAUUGGGCGUAAAGCGCGCGUAGGCGGUUUUUUAAGUCUGAUGUGAAAGCCCACGGCUCAACCGUGGAGGGUCAUUGGAAACUGGAAAACUUGAGUGCAGAAGAGGAAAGUGGAAUUCCAUGUGUAGCGGUGAAAUGCGCAGAGAUAUGGAGGAACACCAGUGGCGAAGGCGACUUUCUGGUCUGUAACUGACGCUGAUGUGCGAAAGCGUGGGGAUCAAACAGGAUUAGAUACCCUGGUAGUCCACGCCGUAAACGAUGAGUGCUAAGUGUUAGGGGGUUUCCGCCCCUUAGUGCUGCAGCUAACGCAUUAAGCACUCCGCCUGGGGAGUACGACCGCAAGGUUGAAACUCAAAGGAAUUGACGGGGACCGCACAAGCGGUGGAGCAUGUGGUUUAAUUCGAAGCAACGCGAAGAACCUUACCAAAUCUUGACAUCCUUUGACAACUCUAGAGAUAGAGCCUUCCCCUUCGGGGGACAAAGUGACAGGUGGUGCAUGGUUGUCGUCAGCUCGUGUCGUGAGAUGUUGGGUUAAGUCCCGCAACGAGCGCAACCCUUAAGCUUAGUUGCCAUCAUUAAGUUGGGCACUCUAAGUUGACUGCCGGUGACAAACCGGAGGAAGGUGGGGAUGACGUCAAAUCAUCAUGCCCCUUAUGAUUUGGGCUACACACGUGCUACAAUGGACAAUACAAAGGGCAGCGAAACCGUGAGGUCAAGCAAAUCCCAUAAAGUUGUUCUCAGUUCGGAUUGUAGUCUGCAACUCGACUACAUGAAGCUGGAAUCGCUAGUAAUCGUAGAUCAGCAUGCUACGGUGAAUACGUUCCCGGGUCUUGUACACACCGCCCGUCACACCACGAGAGUUUGUAACACCCGAAGCCGGUGGAGUAACCUUUUAGGAGCUAGCCGUCGAAGGUGGGACAAAUGAUUGGGGUGAAGUCGUAACAAGGUAGCCGUAUCGGAAGGUGCGGCUGGAUCACCUCCUUU